Oreochromis aureus is the source of this 51-nucleotide microRNA precursor. Lineage: Eukaryota; Metazoa; Chordata; Actinopteri; Cichliformes; Cichlidae. The record is from Ensembl.
ACAGCGGAGGAGAAAUAAAGAGGGGCUCUUUAUUUCUCUCUCUGUCUGCCG